This 246-nucleotide unclassified non-coding RNA is filed under the name fungal sp. RNAcentral describes it as "partial internal transcribed spacer region". The stretch from base 1 to 46 matches the Rfam family "Eukaryotic small subunit ribosomal RNA", at positions 1786 to 1831 of the family's 1831-position model. Lineage: Eukaryota; Fungi. The record is from RNAcentral.
AAGUCGUAACAAGGUUUCCGUAGGUGAACCUGCGGAAGGAUCAUUACAGUAUAUUGAAUUCUUAUUCAUAUCAACCCACACUGUGUACCUUUUAUCUGUUGCUUUCAUGGGACAUGGCUCUGCCACGUCGGCCUUCGGGCUGGUGAGUUCCCAUGGAAGGAAACCCAAUACUCUUUUUAUUUUUGACAUCUGUCUGAAUAGUUUUUAUAAACGUUAAAACUUUCAACAACGGAUCUCUUGGUUCUC